GACGAACGCUGGCGGCGUGCUUAACACAUGCAAGUCGAACGGAAAGGCCCUUCGGGGUACUCGAGUGACGCACGGGUGAGUAACACGGUGGCGAACUGGCCUGCACCUUGUGAUAAGCCUGGCAAACUGGGGCUAAUACCGAAUGGGACCACGCGCUACAUGGUGUGAGGUGGAAAGCCCUUGGGGUGUGGGUUGGGUCGGCGGCCUAUCAGCUUGUUGGUGGGGUAUUGGCAUACGAAGGCGAAGACGGGUAGCCGGCAUGGGAGGGUGACCGGCCACAAUGGGACUGAGAUACGGAGCAGACUCGUACGGGAGGCAGCAGGGGGGAGCAUUGCACAGUGGGGGCGAGCCUGAUGCAGAGGCGCCGCGUGAGGGAUGACGGCCUUCGGGAGGUAAACGUCUUUCAGUGGAGACGAAGAGGUAGUGACGGUACCUAUAGAAGAAGCACCGGCUAACUACGUG
This 462-nucleotide ribosomal RNA is filed under the name uncultured bacterium. RNAcentral's name for it is "partial 16S ribosomal RNA". It matches the Rfam family "Bacterial small subunit ribosomal RNA", at positions 28 to 507 of the family's 1533-position model. The record is from RNAcentral.